CAAUCCUUAAGAACAGUACCUAGUUGACGUGAGUCUGGUUAGUCUCGAUAUCCACUGCCUCAAAUUGGGAUCUACUCAACCUUUCAUUACCACCGCCACUAUCCUCCACCGCCUUAAGUGGCUGUCAUUCGUUAGUUCCUUUCUUGCGUCUUCUUCAACCUCCUCAACCCAACCGUACAUGUUCCUCGGGUUUAAUCCUCAACCAUCCACCGUCUCAUCUUGAUUCUUCCAGAUUAUCCUUCUCUCACCUCGCUCUCUGCAGUCUCCAGCAGUCUCCAGAAACCCUAAAUUCAUCUCUACCAGAACCGGCGUCCACCACCCCUACGCUUCCUUAUUUCCUGUUGGUGUACAGGUUUGUUUCAUAGUAACCCAAAUACUUGUGUGUAUGUGAUCUAUAGAUGACACUCCUGGUUUCUUCCUCACUUUACCACCGCACAACCGUCGGCCCCAAGGCCAGAAGAUUCGUCAGCAACAACCGUCGACUUCUAGCAUAGCCUUCCCAAUUCCUACCGCCUCUCUAAUCAGGUUCGCCUCCUUCCACCUUUCCUUCCCCCUUUCUCUACAAUCGACCGAGACCCUAGGAACGACAAUUGUGAGAUAUAACUGAUUUUCGCUACCACAACCCACCCAUCGUUUUCUGGCACAAAACGACAUCCAACAUCUCUCAUCGUUUUGAAAUCAAGCAGAUUUACCACAACCGACCGAUGGACAACAAAAAAGGUCGACUACAGCUAUCGAUGGGGAUGGUGCUGACCAUUGUUUAGGUGGGGUUUGGAUGGAUUGUAAUUGAAUUCCAUUCCAAUCCAUUGUUUCGUUGCCAAUGGGUAUCUAAACUGUGUAUCUAUCUCUUUCUAGGUUUGAUUAUUCUUAAAGAUUCGUUUCUCUUCAUAAUCAAAGCCAUAACCUUUUGAAUUCACAUCGACAACGAGCAUUAUGUUCAAAUUGUUUGCUGUUUGUUGGUAUAAUGGUGUUACUCAUCACAAAUGACUAAACUUCAAACAUUAUAUCUCCUAAUAAAUCUUUCUUUUUUAGUUUCUACAAUCUUCUAUUCUUAUACAAUAUACACGUUCUUGAUAAUCGAUUCUGAUUCUAACUUAAUGAAUUUCUUGUAACAGGAACAACAUCAAGAUUCAUAAGUUGUUAAACAUUCAUUUCAAACUUGCAUGGGAUUAUCAAUUUCGUGCCCCUUUGCCACCUGUACAGAUUUGUAAAACAAGAUUACUGAUGUUAGGGUGUAAGUUAGAUUAGGGUGCUAUAGAUGGUUCACAUAGAUUUAACAUUAUAUGUAUAUUAUAAAAUCGAGUUUUCACUUAUUUUUAUGUUGUUUGUAUUGCAGUAGUAAGCCAACUAAAUGACCUAAUGACCUGUGGUGGAGACGUGGGUCUGCUUCACCAAGGUCAAUGCAUAUAAGCCAUAGAAAUGAUAAAGUUGAAAUCUUAAUAGUACAAUUCAUUAAUUUCUUAUUUGUAUUGUACACUUUUUCUUGAAAUCGGAGGGACUUAGUUCGAAAUUAUUUCAUUUUUGGGGUUUAUAAAAUUUUCACUUUUGAGUUUUUGAUGAUAACUUUGGGUUUCAUUGGCAGGUUGAAUCUGAAUAGCUGUUGAACAUGCUCAGUUAGAAUGGAUAUCUUUUCAUUAUUGUUGCUUAUCUUUUUUUGGUAGAGGUUUACAAAUUUACACAUUUUCUUAUUCCGGACACCUACAUUCAAGGCUUCUGAUUUUACCAACACUGGUAUUUUAUUUCAAUAACCUUUUUUUUCCAGAUGUCCACCGACCAUAUUCUCAAACUAAUCAAUUGUCUUUCUUACAAUAGGAAUGUUUUUUGUUCUCUAAACUUUACUUUCUAUCUCGGUUUGGAUGAUUUAUACCCGUAAUUUUCAAUCCCUAAAUUUUGCAGAUGCUUCUCCGAAAAACCCAAAAGCAACAAGAAAACUGACGAACCUGUGUUUUUAAGCAUUUACACAUCAACUAACCGAUCUUUUAAAAAAAUCAGAGAAGAGAUUAGGAAAACGGUUUGCUGAUGGACGUGAUGAGGAGUCUACUGCCAGGAUAAAUGUCCAGGGAUCAAAGGCGUCUGAAAAAAUAUAUCUCAAAGAGAUGAAUGUCUUCCUAACACAAGGGGGAGUAAUACCAAACGAAGAAUAAAAAGAGUGUAUAUAUCACCGAAUGAAAGGUUUUUAAAGAAGGGAUAGUUCCCUGUGCUUACAGUUAUGUCAGCAGGGUAUGCUUUGCAUAUAAUGAUUUUACAAAUUUGUGUUUCAGCCUUCCUUACAGGGAUUACCAAAGCAACCAUAAUUAGAUUUUCCGUAAUGGAAUUAAUAAGAGAAAGGAUCUAUGUUGCAUCUUACCAAACACCUAUCUAUAGAAGUCUUUAAUUGUCUUCCAUCUCCUUCUUAAAAGUGGGUGACUUCAUCUGAAUUGUAAGUCCCUAAUUUGCCCGUGUAUCAGUCAGAUCCGUUUGAUGGUGCGGAAUCCCAAUCAAACGGAUGAUGUAAGAUCAAAAAUAGAAGAGAAGGAGAAGAAGAAUUAAUAUGAAUCUUGUAUGUAUUGAUAUGAAUUAUAAUCUGGAUACAAAAGAUUCACACA
Molecule: non-coding RNA, 2585 nt
Organism: Lactuca sativa (garden lettuce)
Lineage: Eukaryota; Viridiplantae; Streptophyta; Magnoliopsida; Asterales; Asteraceae
Source: RefSeq, a predicted model, not a curated record